AGUCGGGAAUUUUGGGCAAUGGGCGAAAGCCUGACCCAGCAACGCCGCGUGAAGGAUGAAAUCCCUCGGGAUGUAAACUUCGCAAGAACGGGAAGAAUAAGUCGGUGCUAACACCACCGGCGAUGACGGUACCGUUUGUAAGCUCCGGCUAACUCCGUGCCAGCAGCCGCGGUAAUACGGGGGGAGCAAGCGUUGUUCGGAUUUACUGGGCGUAAAGGGCGCGUAGGCGGCCACCGCAAGUCAAUUGUGAAAUCUCCGGGCUUAACUCGGAAAGGUCAACUGAUACUGCGGGGCUAGAGUGCAGAAGGGGCAACUGGAAUUCUCGGUGUAGCGGUGAAAUGCGUAGAUAUCGAGAGGAACACCUGCGGCGAAGGCGGGUUGCUGGGCCGACACUGACGCUGAUGCGCGAAAGCCAGGGGAGCGAA
RNAcentral lists this ribosomal RNA (425 nucleotides) under uncultured bacterium. RNAcentral's name for it is "bacterial SSU rRNA". It matches the Rfam family "Bacterial small subunit ribosomal RNA", at positions 353 to 772 of the family's 1533-position model. The record is from RNAcentral.